RNAcentral lists this ribosomal RNA (1343 nucleotides) under uncultured Ralstonia sp. RNAcentral describes it as "bacterial SSU rRNA". It matches the Rfam family "Bacterial small subunit ribosomal RNA", at positions 76 to 1418 of the family's 1533-position model. The record is from RNAcentral. Lineage: Bacteria; Pseudomonadati; Pseudomonadota; Betaproteobacteria; Burkholderiales; Burkholderiaceae.
CUUGCUAGAUUGAUGGCGAGUGGCGAACGGGUGAGUAAUACAUCGGAACGUGCCCUGUAGUGGGGGAUAACUAGUCGAAAGAUUAGCUAAUACCGCAUACGACCUGAGGGUGAAAGUGGGGGACCGCAAGGCCUCAUGCUAUAGGAGCGGCCGAUGUCUGAUUAGCUAGUUGGUGGGGUAAAGGCCCACCAAGGCGACGAUCAGUAGCUGGUCUGAGAGGACGAUCAGCCACACUGGGACUGAGACACGGCCCAGACUCCUACGGGAGGCAGCAGUGGGGAAUUUUGGACAAUGGGCGAAAGCCUGAUCCAGCAAUGCCGCGUGUGUGAAGAAGGCCUUCGGGUUGUAAAGCACUUUUGUCCGGAAAGAAAUGGCUCUGGUUAAUACCUGGGGUCGAUGACGGUACCGGAAGAAUAAGGACCGGCUAACUACGUGCCAGCAGCCGCGGUAAUACGUAGGGUCCAAGCGUUAAUCGGAAUUACUGGGCGUAAAGCGUGCGCAGGCGGUUGUGCAAGACCGAUGUGAAAUCCCCGAGCUUAACUUGGGAAUUGCAUUGGUGACUGCACGGCUAGAGUGUGUCAGAGGGGGGUAGAAUUCCACGUGUAGCAGUGAAAUGCGUAGAGAUGUGGAGGAAUACCGAUGGCGAAGGCAGCCCCCUGGGAUAACACUGACGCUCAUGCACGAAAGCGUGGGGAGCAAACAGGAUUAGAUACCCUGGUAGUCCACGCCCUAAACGAUGUCAACUAGUUGUUGGGGAUUCAUUUCCUUAGUAACGUAGCUAACGCGUGAAGUUGACCGCCUGGGGAGUACGGUCGCAAGAUUAAAACUCAAAGGAAUUGACGGGGACCCGCACAAGCGGUGGAUGAUGUGGAUUAAUUCGAUGCAACGCGAAAAACCUUACCUACCCUUGACAUGCCACUAACGAAGCAGAGAUGCAUUAGGUGCUCGAAAGAGAAAGUGGACACAGGUGCUGCAUGGCUGUCGUCAGCUCGUGUCGUGAGAUGUUGGGUUAAGUCCCGCAACGAGCGCAACCCUUGUCUCUAGUUGCUACGAAAGGGCACUCUAGAGAGACUGCCGGUGACAAACCGGAGGAAGGUGGGGAUGACGUCAAGUCCUCAUGGCCCUUAUGGGUAGGGCUUCACACGUCAUACAAUGGUGCAUACAGAGGGUUGCCAAGCCGCGAGGUGGAGCUAAUCCCAGAAAAUGCAUCGUAGUCCGGAUCGUAGUCUGCAACUCGACUACGUGAAGCUGGAAUCGCUAGUAAUCGCGGAUCAGCAUUCCGCGGUGAAUACGUUCGCCGGGUCUCUGUACACACCGCCCGUCACACCAUGGGAGUGGGCUUU